This 884-nucleotide ribosomal RNA is filed under the name Enterobacteriaceae bacterium secondary endosymbiont of Spalangia cameroni. RNAcentral's name for it is "bacterial SSU rRNA". It matches the Rfam family "Bacterial small subunit ribosomal RNA", at positions 43 to 916 of the family's 1533-position model. Lineage: Bacteria; Pseudomonadati; Pseudomonadota; Gammaproteobacteria; Enterobacterales; Enterobacteriaceae. The record is from RNAcentral.
CAGGCCUAACACAUGCAAGUCGAGCGGCAGUGGGAAGAAGCUUGCUUCUUUGCCGGCGAGCGGCGGACGGGUGAGUAAUGUCUGGGGAUCUGCCCGAUGGAGGGGGAUAACUACUGGAAACGGUAGCUAAUACCGCAUAACGUCGCAAGACCAAAGUGGGGGACCUUCGGGCCUCACACCAUCGGAUGAACCCAGAUGGGAUUAGCUAGUAGGUGGGGUAAUGGCUCACCUAGGCGACGAUCCCUAGCUGGUCUGAGAGGAUGACCAGCCACACUGGAACUGAGACACGGUCCAGACUCCUACGGGAGGCAGCAGUGGGGAAUAUUGCACAAUGGGGGAAACCCUGAUGCAGCCAUGCCGCGUGUGUGAAGAAGGCCUUCGGGUUGUAAAGCACUUUCAGCGGGGAGGAAGGCGAUGGCGUAAAUAGCGCCAUCGAUUGACGUUACCCGCAGAAGAAGCACCGGCUAACUCCGCGCCAGCAGCCGCGGUAAUACGGAGGGUGCGAGCGUUAAUCGGAAUUACUGGGCGUAAAGCGUACGUAGGCGGUCUGUUAAGUCAGAUGUGAAAUCCCCGGGCUCAACCUGGGAACUGCAUUUGAAACUGGCAGGCUAGAGUCUCGUAGAGGGGGGUAGAAUUCCAGGUGUAGCGGUGAAAUGCGUAGAGAUCUGGAGGAAUACCGGUGGCGAAGGCGGCCCCCUGGACGAAGACUGACGCUCAGGUACGAAAGCGUGGGGAGCAAACAGGAUUAGAUACCCUGGUAGUCCACGCUGUAAACGAUGUCGAUUUGAAGGUUGUGGCCUUGAGCCGUGGCUUUCGGAGCUAACGCGUUAAAUCGACCGCCUGGGGAGUACGGCCGCAAGGUUAAAACUCAAAGGAAUUGACGG